This 227-nucleotide ribosomal RNA is filed under the name uncultured bacterium. Its description in RNAcentral is "partial 16S ribosomal RNA". It matches the Rfam family "Bacterial small subunit ribosomal RNA", at positions 90 to 334 of the family's 1533-position model. The record is from RNAcentral.
UGGGAGCGGCAGACGGGAUAGUAACACGUGGGAACGUACCUUUCAGUUCGGAACAACCCAGGGAAACUUGGGCUAAUACCGAAUACGCCCGUAAGGGGAAAGAUUUAUCGCUGAAAGAUCGGCCCGCGUCUGAUUAGCUAGUUGGUGAGGUAACGGCUCACCAAGGCGACGAUCAGUAGCUGGUCUGAGAGGAUGAUCAGCAUCACUGGGACUGAGACACGGCCCAG